RNAcentral lists this ribosomal RNA (492 nucleotides) under uncultured bacterium. Its description in RNAcentral is "partial 16S ribosomal RNA". It matches the Rfam family "Bacterial small subunit ribosomal RNA", at positions 29 to 507 of the family's 1533-position model. The record is from RNAcentral.
AGUGAACGCUGGCGGUAGGCCUAACACAUGCAAGUCGAACGGCAGCACAGUAAGAGCUUGCUCUUACGGGUGGCGAGUGGCAGACGAGUGAGGAAUACAUCGGAAUCUACUUUUUCGUGGGGGAUAACGUAGGGAAACUUACGCUAAUACCGCAUACGACCUACGGGUGAAAUCAAAGGAACUACGGACCUUGCGCGAUUGACUUCGCCGAUGUCGGAUUAGAUAGUUGGCGGGGUAAAGGCCCACCAAGGCGACGCUCCGUAGCUGGUCUGAGAGGAUGAGCAGCCACACCGGAACUGAGACACGGCCCAGACUCCUACGGGAGGCAGCAGAGGGGAAUAUUGGACUAUGGGCGGAAGCCUGGUCUGACCAUACCGCGUGGGUUAAGAAAGCCUUCGGGUUGUAAAGCCCUUCUGUUGGGAAAGAAAAGCAGCAGCUUAAUACCCCGCUGUUCUGACGGUACCCAAAGAAUAAGCACCGGCUAACUUCGUG